This 536-nucleotide unclassified non-coding RNA is filed under the name Hevea brasiliensis (rubber tree). Lineage: Eukaryota; Viridiplantae; Streptophyta; Magnoliopsida; Malpighiales; Euphorbiaceae. The record is from RNAcentral.
UGUGUUUAUGAAUAGUUUGAUGUUAGACUUAAUAAAUUGCAAGCAUUUGAAUUGUUCAAAAUUAGGAAUGUCUAUGGCUACUGUCUUUAUGCUGAUUUAACAAUUUAAGAAUCAAAACCAAUUAUAAGGGCACAAGAUUUUGAUUAAUUUAGUCCACAGGAAUCUACCAUUUGAUUUAUUAUAUUUGACCUUGGUUUUAGUUCAUUGUUUGUGUUAAACUUGGUUUUGUGAGUCAUUGUUCAUUGUUUGUUUUUAGUUCAUUGGUUUUAGUUCACUCCUUAGCUUUCUUCCAAGUGAUGGCCCUGAAAUGGUUUAUGUAAUGCAUCAAGUAUAUAGGCCUACAAAUCUGUCAAGGCAAGCUUCGACCAGUGAAGAUUUGGCUUGUUUAUGGAAAGAGUUUAACUUUAGGCUCAGGCUUGGCAAAAUUAUUAAACAAGCCAAUCACUACCUCCUUCUUAUAAACAAACCAAAACUGAGCCAAAGUCUUUCUUAAUAAAUUGAAGUUACAAAUGAAAUUCAACUCAACUCAACUCAAC